CCUGCAUGAAGUCGGAAUUGCUGUAAUCGCAGAUCAGCAUGCUGCGGUGAAUACGUUCCCGGGCCUUGUACACACCGCCCGUCACACCAUGGGAGUCGGUAACACCCGAAGUCGGUAGCCUAACCGUAAGGAGGGCGCCGCCAAGGUGGGAUUGAUGACUGGGGUGAAGUCGUAACAAGGUAGC
RNAcentral lists this ribosomal RNA (184 nucleotides) under uncultured bacterium. RNAcentral's name for it is "partial 16S ribosomal RNA". It matches the Rfam family "Bacterial small subunit ribosomal RNA", at positions 1315 to 1500 of the family's 1533-position model. The record is from RNAcentral.